CUGGACUUCCUGACGGGCCGCCCCCAGGUGGUAAGGGUAGGCAACAACACAUCUGCCACGCUGAUCCUCAACACGGGGGCCCCUCAGGAGUGCGUGCUUAAUAUCAUCCUGUACUCCCUGUUCACCAGUGACUGCGUGGCCAAGCACGACUCCAACACCAUCAUUAAGUUUGUCGACGACACAACGGUGGUAGGCCUGAUCACCGACAAUGAUGAGACCUAUAAGGAGGAGGACAGAGGCCUGGUUUUGCCCUUGCACUACACAGCUGAUUAAAAUAAUCAACUAAUCAUCAAGUUUUGAUCACCUAUUUGGUGUUAGGGAAAAAAUCUAAACGUGCACCGAGUUUGGGAAACCCUGUGUAAGAUGAUUUUGAUUGAGCAGUGUUUAAUUUUUUUUACCACGCAACUACUGUACAUUGACCUAUAUGCCGAGAGUUUGAACUUCUGUUUUUAAGCCAGAGAAUAAGCCUGAGUCGUAUUUCACUGUUAGUUUUACACAAUUUUUUUUUACAUUUUAGGUUAUAAAACGGACCAUUUGUCACGUCCUGACCAGCAGAGGGAGUAGUUGUUUAGUAUUUUGGUCAGGACGUGGCAGAGGGAUGUUUGUUUUGUAUGGUGGGGGUUUUGUGUGUGUUGUAGAGGGGUGUUUGAUUUAUGUGUUCCUGGGUUUUGGGUGUAUGUUCUAGGUUUGGGUGCUGGACUCUCAAUUGGAGGCAGGUGUUUCUCGUUGCCUCUGAUUGAGAGUCCUAUAUAUGGGUAAUUGUUUGGCGUAGUGUUGUGGGAGAUUGUUUCUUGUUUUGCCUGUGUGAGCAUGACAAGACUGUUUUGUUGUUCGUGCAUUUUUUGUUUUGUUAUUUUGGUGUUCACUUGCUUUUAAAAUAAAUACAAGAUGAGCAUCCACAUUCCUGCUGUGUUUUGGUCCUCCAUUCCUGACGACAACCGUUACACCAUUUUUUUAUUAAAAGUAAGAGAUGAUGGGUGUACUUCAUGUGUUGUAUGCGUGUGCAGCUUUCACCCUGAUAUUGGCUACGAGGUAGAUACUUCCCACUCUGUUGCCGGGGCAGCGAAUGGCACUGUGUCCCAUUGUUGUCCUACUUUAAAUAAAAUCAUGUGAGAGAAAAAAUAUUGGCCACGUUAGCUACUGCCAGCAACACGACCAUGAUACCGAGUAGAAAAGACUUCCAAGUUGGCAGGUACAUCGAUUUACCACCCAGUGCAUUGGUCACCGUAGCGUAACCAUGUUGGGCUUACAGCCCAACACCGUGCAGGACGUUUGGCAUUUGCCAGAGAACACCAAGAUUGGCAAAUUCGCCACUGGCGCCCUGUGCUCUUCACAGAUGAAAGCAGGUUCACACUAAGCACGUGACAGAGUCUGGAGACGCUGUGGAGAACGUUCUGCUGCCUGCAACAUCCUCCAGCAUGACCGGUUUGGCGGUGGGUCAGUCAUGGUGUGGGGUGGCAUUUACUGAGCCUCAUUUUGACUUGUUUUAAGGACAUUACAUCAAAGUUGGAUCAGCCUGUAGUGUGGUUUUCCACUUUAAUUUUGAGUGUGACUCCAAAAAUCCAGACCUCCAUGGGUUGAUAAAUUGGAUUUCCAUUGAUUAUUUUUGUGUGAUUUUGUUGUCAGCACAUUCAACUAUGUAAAGAAAAAAGUAUUUAAUAAGAUUAUUUUAUUCAGAUCUAGGAUGUGUUAUUUUAGUGUUCCCUUUAUUUUUUUUUGCAAUGUAUAUAUAUUUUUAAUUUAACCUUUGUUUAACUAAGCAAUGGAGCCCAAUCAGCCAUGCAAAAACGGUCUUAAGUGGCAACAAAUCCGCCCAAUUAGCUGAUUCGCUUUCCAUACAAGCGCUCCUUUCAAGACACUCACUCGGUCAUACUCUGGUCACCAUAUAGGAGUGCCUGCAGCUACUCAUACUUGCCUUUGCUUGUUGGCCAAAGCCUAUGAGGAAAUUAAUGUCGUUUUUGGAGGGUUUCUGGAUAAACGCCGAAAAUAAGGUCUGUGGUAACCACAGGUUUAGGAAAUCUUAUACGUUUUGUUAUAUAAGAUAAUCUUCUAUAGCUAAUGUCAGUUUAUGAAUUUUAGAGCAUUUUUGUAAUCAAAACAAGCAAAUAAAGGCUUCAUAAUUCAUGAAUGCCAUGUUAACUGACUUAUAUUAUCACAUUUUAUUCACUGCUUUAGCGCACUCUGCCAACCCGGAUGUCCUAGCCGUGUCUGAAUCCUGGCUUAGGAAGACCACCAAAAACCCAGAAAUGUCCAUCCUUAACUAUAACAUUUUCCGACAAGAUAGAACUGCCAAAGGGGGCGUUGUUGCAAUCUACUGCAGAGAUAGCCUGCAGAGUUCUGUCUUACUAUCCAGGUCUGUACCCAAACAAUUUGAGCUUCUACUUUUAAAAAUCCACCUUAACAGAAACAAGUCUCUCACCGUUGCCGCUUGCUAUAGACCACCCUCGGCCCCCAGCUGUGCCCUGGACACCAUAUGUGAAUUGAUUGCCCCCUAUCUAUCUUCAGAGCUCGUGCUGCUAGGUAACCUAAACUGGGACAUGCUUAACACCCCGGCCAUCCUACAAUCUAAGCUUGAUGCCCUCAAUCUCACACAAAUUAUCAAUGAACCAACCAGGUACAACCACAAAUCUGUAAACACGGGCACCCUCAUAGAUAUCAUCCUAACCAACUUGCCCUCCAAAUACACAUCUGCUGUUUUCAACCAAGAUCUCAGCGAUCACUGCCUCAUUGCCUGCAUCCGUAAUGGGUCUGCGGUCAAAUGACCACCCCUCAUCACUGUCAAACGCUCCCUAAAACACUUCAGCGAGCAGGCCUUUCUAAUCGACCUGGCCCGGGUGUCCUGGAUGGAUAUUGACCUCAUCCCGUCAGUAGAGGAUGCCUGGUUAUUCUUUAAAAGUGCCUUCCUCACCAUCUUAAAUAAGCAUGCCCCAUUCAAAAAAAUGUAUAACCAGGAACAGAUAUUUCUAAAGUCUUCGAAAGCCAAGUUAACAAACAGAUUACCGACCAUUUUGAAUCCCGCCGUACCCUCUCCGCUAUGCAAUCUGGUUUCAGAGCUGGUCAUGGGUGCACCUCAGCCACGCUCAAGGUCCCAAACGAUAUCAUAACCGCCAUCGAUAGGAGACAUUACUGUGCAGCCAUAUUCAUUGACCUGGCCAAGGCUUUCGACUGUCAAUCACCACAUUCUUAUCGGCAGACUCAACAGCCUUGGUUUCUCAAAUGAUUGCCUCGCC
RNAcentral lists this long non-coding RNA (3230 nucleotides) under Salmo salar (Atlantic salmon). Its description in RNAcentral is "lncRNA (ENSSSAG00000113937.1)". The record is from RNAcentral. Lineage: Eukaryota; Metazoa; Chordata; Actinopteri; Salmoniformes; Salmonidae.